This 490-nucleotide ribosomal RNA is filed under the name uncultured bacterium. RNAcentral describes it as "partial 16S ribosomal RNA". It matches the Rfam family "Bacterial small subunit ribosomal RNA", at positions 30 to 507 of the family's 1533-position model. The record is from RNAcentral.
AUUGAACGCUGGCGGCAGGCCUAACACAUGCAAGUCGAACGGUAACAGGAAGACGCUUGCUUCUUUGCUGACGAGUGGCGGACGGGUGAGUAAUGUCUGGGAAACUGCCUGAUGGAGGGGGAUAACUACUGGAAACGGUAGCUAAUACCGCAUAACGUCGCAAGACCAAAGAGGGGGACCUUCGGGCCUCUUGCCAUCGGAUGUGCCCAGAUGGGAUUAGCUAGUAGGUGGGGUAACGGCUCACCUAGGCGACGAUCCCUAGCUGGUCUGAGAGGAUGACCAGCCACACUGGAACUGAGACACGGUCCAGACUCCUACGGGAGGCAGCAGUGGGGAAUAUUGCACAAUGGGCGCAAGCCUGAUGCAGCCAUGCCGCGUGUAUGAAGAAGGCCUUCGGGUUGUAGAGUACUUUCAGCGGGGAGGAAGGGAGUAAAGUUAAUACCUUUGCUCAUUGACGUUACCCGCAGAAGAAGCACCGGCUAACUCCGUG